UUGAACGCUGGCGGCAGGCCUAACACAUGCAAGUCGAACGGUAACAGGAAGCAGCUUGCUGCUUCGCUGACGAGUGGCGGACUGGUGAGUAAUGUCUUGGAAACUGCCUGAUGGAGGGGGAUAACUACUGGAAACGGUAGCUAAUACCGCAUAACGUCGCAAGACCAAAGAGGGGGACCUUAGGGCCUCUUGCCUUCGGAUGUGCCCAGAUGGGAUUAGCUAGUAGGUGGGGUAACGGCUCACCUAGGCGACGAUCCCUAGCUGGUCUGAGAGGAUGACCAGCCACACUGGAACUGAGACACGGCCCAGACUCCUACGGGAGGCAGCAGUGGGGAAUAUUGCACAAUGGGCGCAAGCCUGAUGCAGCCAUGCCGCGUGUAUGAAGAAGGCCUUCGGGUUGUAAAGUACUUUCAGCGGGGAGGAAGGGAGUAAAGUUAAUACCGUGGCUCAUUGACGUUACCCGCAGAAGAAGCACCGGCUAACUCCGUG
Molecule: ribosomal RNA, 489 nt
Filed under: uncultured bacterium
Lineage: Bacteria
Description: partial 16S ribosomal RNA
Rfam family: Bacterial small subunit ribosomal RNA
Source: RNAcentral